CGCACAUUGCGCCCCUCGGCAUUCCUUGGGGCAUGCCUAUUCGAGCGUCGUUUACACCCCUCAAGCGCGAGCUUGGUGUUGGGGGUUGCCGUCCGACGGCCGGACGGGCACCCCUCGAAAGCAUCAGCGGCUACCGGUGCCUCGUGGAGCGCAGCAGCGAUGCAGCUUCCACCGCCCGCAGCCGGCUGGAAAACCCGCGACCCAGUGUGUCGUGCAGGUCAAGCGUUCGACCUCGAAUUAGGUAGGGAUUACCCGCUGAACUUAA
This 265-nucleotide unclassified non-coding RNA is filed under the name Dothideomycetes sp. Its description in RNAcentral is "partial contains 5.8S ribosomal RNA, internal transcribed spacer 2, and large subunit ribosomal RNA". Lineage: Eukaryota; Fungi; Ascomycota; Dothideomycetes. The record is from RNAcentral.